AGCGAACGCUGGCGGCAGGCUUAACACAUGCAAGUCGAGCGGGCACCUUUCGGGGUGUCCGCGGCGGACGGGUGAGUAACGCGUGGGAACGUGCCCUCUGGUUCGGAAUAACUCAGGGAAACUUGAGCUAAUACCGGAUACGUCCUUUUGGGGAAAGGCUUGCUGCCGGAGGAUCGGCCCGCGUCUGAUUAGCUAGUUGGUGAGGUAACGGCUCACCAAGGCGACGAUCAGUAGCUGGUCUGAGAGGAUGAUCAGCCACACUGGGACUGAGACACGGCCCAGACUCCUACGGGAGGCAGCAGUGGGGAAUAUUGGACAAUGGGCGCAAGCCUGAUCCAGCCAUGCCGCGUGAGUGAUGAAGGCCUUAGGGUUGUAAAGCUCUUUUAUCCGGGACGAUAAUGACGGUACCGGAGGAAUAAGCCCCGGCUAACUUCGUG
This 437-nucleotide ribosomal RNA is filed under the name uncultured bacterium. RNAcentral describes it as "partial 16S ribosomal RNA". It matches the Rfam family "Bacterial small subunit ribosomal RNA", at positions 29 to 507 of the family's 1533-position model. The record is from RNAcentral.